CCGGUGUGAUGUUACGAAAAUAUUUGCUACUUCAGAGGGCCACAACCCAAUGAGACUACUUUAAUCACCAAGAUCUCUGACCGC
RNAcentral lists this small nucleolar RNA (84 nucleotides) under Gelatoporia subvermispora B. RNAcentral describes it as "Small nucleolar RNA SNORD24". It matches the Rfam family "Small nucleolar RNA SNORD24". Rfam says of the family: U24 is a member of the C/D class of snoRNA which contain the C (UGAUGA) and D (CUGA) box motifs. C/D box snoRNAs have been shown to act as methylation guides for a number of RNA targets. The record is from Rfam by way of RNAcentral. Lineage: Eukaryota; Fungi; Basidiomycota; Agaricomycetes; Polyporales; Gelatoporiaceae.